Long non-coding RNA from Suricata suricatta (meerkat), 1273 nucleotides. RefSeq lists it as uncharacterized. The transcript is spliced from 7 exons. The record is from RefSeq and is a predicted model, not a curated record. NCBI's taxonomy places the organism in Eukaryota, Metazoa, Chordata, Mammalia, Carnivora, Herpestidae.
UAACUAGAUAGAAAAGCCGUCCCCUCAGAGACUAUAAUGAACAAAAAACCAUCAGACCACUGUUCUUCUUCCUUGGUGACCUACUCAAGAUCCUUAUGAGAAUCUAGGAAAAAUUGAUGAUUUUUUCAAAGAAACUGUGGCAGAGCAAAGAAAAACAAAAUUGAGAGAAGGAUACUGACCCUCCUGUCAUAGCCCAGUCAGGGGUUCCGUAUUUGUGACAUCACAGAAUGCCCGUAGAAUGGCUCACUGUGGUGCUUUCACUGCACCUACACUGAGAACACACACUCAAAUCCAGAAUUACCAGGUACUGAUAAAACAGCACUGAUAAAAGGAGAAAAGACAGAUUGAAGAAAAUGAAUUUUGGACAUUUUUGCUGCACUAGUAUGGAAUAUUUUGUCAAAGAUAUUAGGAACAGUUCUCAAGACAACUAAUUGUGUGCUCAGUGAAGAUCGGCUGGAAAAAGAAAAAGCUUUUAGCAUGAUUAAGUUUUCCUGGAGAGAGCCCUCUUUUGCCUGACAGAGAACAGAAUUCCCAAACAGUGUCUCAACUACCCUCUCUGGAAGCAGCCCAGGUCAUCACCCCACCAAGGAAGAACUUUCCGAAACAGUGAUGACUGUGAACACCGAUGCCAACGGAGGCCAGCGUGCUGAGCGAAGAGGUGGCGUACAAACAUCUGCUCCUUGUCCCACCCGCCUCGCAGCGUCUGCUCCCGCGCUCCGGCCACGCCAGUGAACUAGACACUCUGCUGUUGGAAGGACCCGCACGACUCUCAUACACUUCAUAAGGGAAACGCCUCAAGGAGUGAGCUGCACCUUAAAUGGAUCAGGGUGUUGAUUAAGUCUCCCUGCCCAUUACACAGCUCAAUGCAGGCCAUAAAUACCAAGAAUGGUGGCGACUAAAACCUUCCAAGUGCAUUUCCAGAUCCACGGCUGGGGGAGCACUCAUUUGUCAGACUGUGUAACUUAACCCGAGAGGUAUAUGGAGAGUAAAUCACACUGCACGGGGCACUACUGCACCAGACGAGCUGUGCUGACUUGCCAAAAGCCGAAUUAUUAUGGCCUACUGCCUUCAGUUGAUAAGCCUCAGGUAAACUGACAGGUGAUUCACCGCCGGGAGGAUGGAGCCAGAGCAGGCGGAGACUGCUGUCCAGCCUUGUGCUUCUGCAGCAUGAUAAACAGGCUCUGUCAUAAAAAUACACACUGAGGAGUAUGUUCCUCAAAUGCAAACAAAAAUUCUAAGUACUAUUAAAUUUUAAGUGCUACUAAAAGAUCAU